This 396-nucleotide ribosomal RNA is filed under the name Dictyochales sp. RNAcentral describes it as "partial small subunit ribosomal RNA". It matches the Rfam family "Eukaryotic small subunit ribosomal RNA", at positions 582 to 975 of the family's 1831-position model. The record is from RNAcentral. Lineage: Eukaryota; Dictyochophyceae; Dictyochales.
AUUCCAGCUCCAAUAGCGUAUAUUAAUGUUGUUGCAGUUAAAAAGCUCGUAGUUGGAUUUCUGAUGGGAUCGACCCGGUCGGCUCCGAAAGGGGUCGCACUGGUGGUCUGUCCGGUCAUCCUCGAGGGGAGGCUUUCUGGCAUUCAUUUGUUGGGGAGUCGACGCUCGUCGUUUACUGUGAACAAAUUAGAGUGUUCAAAGCAGGCUUAGGCCGUUGAAUACAUUAGCAUGGAAUAAUGAGAUAGGACUUUGGUGGUCUAUUUUGUUGGUUUGCACGCCGAAGUAAUGAUUAAUAGGGGCGGUUGGGGGUAUUCGUAUUCAAUUGUCAGAGGUGAAAUUCUUGGAUUUAUGGAAGACGAACUACUGCGAAAGCAUUUACCAAGGAUGUUUUCAUCG